CCUACGGGGGGCAGCAGUGAGGAAUAUUGGUCAAUGGGCGAGAGCCUGAACCAGCCAAGUCGCGUUAAGGAUGACGGCCCUACGGGUUGUAAACUUCUUUUGUCAGGGAGCAAUUGGGUCCACGCGUGGGCUUAGCGAGAGUACCUGAAGAAAAAGCAUCGGCUAACUCCGUGCCAGCAGCCGCGGUAAUACGGAGGAUGCGAGCGUUAUCCGGAUUUAUUGGGUUUAAAGGGUGCGUAGGCGGAAUAUCAAGUCAGCGGUAAAAAUUCGGGGCUCAACCCCGACGUGCCGUUGAAACUGAUGGUCUUGAGUGGGCGAGAGGGAUGCGGAAUGCGUGGUGUAGCGGUGAAAUGCAUAGAGAUCACGCAGAACUCCGAUUGCGAAGGCAGCAUACCGGCGCCCCACUGACAUUGAGGCUCGAAAGUGUGGGUAUCAAACAGGAUUAGAUACCCUAGUAGUC
Molecule: ribosomal RNA, 460 nt
Filed under: uncultured bacterium
Lineage: Bacteria
Description: partial 16S ribosomal RNA
Rfam family: Bacterial small subunit ribosomal RNA
Source: RNAcentral